Molecule: long non-coding RNA, 473 nt
Organism: Rhinolophus ferrumequinum (greater horseshoe bat)
Lineage: Eukaryota; Metazoa; Chordata; Mammalia; Chiroptera; Rhinolophidae
Exons: 3
Source: RefSeq, a predicted model, not a curated record
CUCGGUCUGGAUCCCGCUCCACGUUAAAUUCGCCAGGCAAGUCCGCGUGGUAGAGCCCUGGACGUGGUAGCCUUUCCUGCACCUGAAGUACACGGCACUGCCGACCUGGAGAGGAAGGCAGUAUUACACACAAAGUCACCCUGGAUUCUUCUGCGACCCCAUGCUCUGGACAAGGCACCGGCGGACUGGAAUGCCAGGUGGGCUGAAAGCUGCUCCAGCUGCAGAAACUCAGUCCAUGACUCGCACACUCGUUAGCUCAGUGAUUCACCAAAACCACCACAGAACGAUGCAAAGUCACGUGGCGGUCGUCACCAGGACGAGCAGAAACCCCCGAGGUUGGGAGCUUCCGGAGGGCUCCGUGUCCCAAGCAUCCACAAUACCCGUCACUUACCCAGACACUGGGGUAAGGAGCGAUCCCACAGGCCGCUGGCCGUGCAGGUGAGGGCGGAGGAGCCCAGCAGGUAGAAGCCCUU